CUGGGUGCUCAUCGCUCUCUCUCCCCAGCGGUCUGGCCUCCACUCUUCCUUCAGGGGUGCUUCAUAUAGUUCUUCCUGGCACCUCCCGGGAUGUGACUCUGGGCCCCGUGGCCAUCAUGUCCCUCCUGGUCUCCUUCUACACCUUCCGUGACCCCCCCUGUGCUGUGCUGCUGGCCUUCCUGUGGGGCUGCAUGCAGUUGGCCAUGGGCUCCUGGGCUUGGGGUUCCUGCUGAAACCCUGCCCCACCAUCUCCGGCCCCGUCAGUCAUUAAAGGUCUCACCUCUGCUGCUACCGUCACCAUCGGCCUUGGGCAGAUCAAGAUUAGCCUGGCUACAGGUUUCUCCAUUUUUGAAAUCUUUUUUUAAGAACUAGUUUUAGUUUUAUCAAUUUCUUUAUUGAUUUCCCAUUUUCAGUGUCAUUAAUUUCUGCUGUAAUUUUUAUUAUUUCCUUUCUUCUGUUUACUUUAGGAUUCCUUUGUCCUUCUUUCUCUAGCUUGUUGUUUCAGCUCUUUCUUUUCUCUAAUCUGUGCAUUCCCCACUGUAAAUUUCCCUCUGGGUCCUGCUUUC
This 566-nucleotide long non-coding RNA is filed under the name Equus asinus (donkey). Its description in RNAcentral is "lncRNA (ENSEASG00005032543.1, ENSEASG00020020114.1)". Lineage: Eukaryota; Metazoa; Chordata; Mammalia; Perissodactyla; Equidae. The record is from RNAcentral.